ACGGGAGCAGCAGGCGCGAAACCUCUGCAAUAGGCGAAAGCUUGACAGGGUUACUCUGAGUGAUGUCCGUUAAGGGCAUCUUUUGGCACUUCUAAAAAUAGUGCAGAAUAAGGGGUGGGCAAGUCUGGUGUCAGCCGCCGCGGUAAUACCAGCACCCCGAGUGGUCGGGACGAUUAUUGGGCCUAAAGCAUCCGUAGCCGGUUCUGCAAGUCUUCCGUUAAAUCCACCUGCUCAACAGAUGGGCUGCGGAGGAUACUACAGGGCUAGGAGGCGGGAGAGGCAAGCGGUACUCAGUGGGUAGGGGUAAAAUCCUCUGAUCCACUGAAGACCACCAGUGGCGAAGGCGGCUUGCCAGAACGCGCUCGACGGUGAGGGAUGAAAGCUGGGGGAGCAAACCGGAUUAGAUACCCGGGUAGUCCCAGCUGUAAACGAUGCAGACUCGGUGAUGGGUUGGCUUCGAGCCAACCCAGUGCCGCAGGGAAGCCGUUAAGUCUGCCGCCUGGGGAGUACGGUCGCAAGACUGAAACUUAAAGGAAUUGGCNGGGGAG
Molecule: ribosomal RNA, 548 nt
Filed under: uncultured archaeon
Lineage: Archaea
Description: bacterial SSU rRNA
Rfam family: Archaeal small subunit ribosomal RNA
Source: RNAcentral